UUAUCUGCUCCGCUCAGUCUGCGGGCAGGAAGAGAUGGCAGCGGGGGAGACACAGCUCUACGCCAAGGUUACCAGCAAGCUCAAGGGCCGCAGCUCCUCCGCGCUCCUGGAGCCCCUCCUGGACAUGGGCUUCCCGGCCCACACCGCGCUCAAGGCACUGGCAGCUACGGGGAGGAAGACGGUGGAGGAGGCAUCAGACUGGUGAGUGGGGCACCGGUAGGGCGGUGAGGUCUCUGCGCAGUGGACCCUCUGGGCGGCCGGGGCAGAGCGGAAGGAGGAAAGAACCCGUGUUUGAAUGGACAGCAAAAGAGAGAGAAUGUCUGAAGCCUUCCGUAACCCGAAUGUGGCUGGCGGGGGGCCAGGGGGGGGGUUGCUGACCAAAUGAGGAAGAGCCAUGUCGCAGAUACGAUGACCCCGAGUCACCACUAUCUCUGCCUCUGAUGGGGACGGGCCUUGCGGGGGGCCGGGCGUAUGUCCCUUAAGUCCCCACAUGUGGCACCUUGAGGGAGCCUGCUGCUUCGGGCAGGGGAGCCCUAGGCUAGGGUCCAAGUGGCUCUGCCACCGCCAGGUCUGCGACCCUGCCAGCUGCCCCCUGCUACCAGCCUGGGAUUUCUGCCCUGGGCCUCCAAGAGGGCACCCCCUCCCUGAAACCCAGCCCUGCCCGCGUGGGCCGUGACGCCACUGUCCUGCCCCAAGGGGAAGUCCCCUCACGCUCUAACCCAGAAGAGCUGCGACGAAAAACACGCAAAAAACCCAGGUCCCGCCAGGCUGGGGUGCCCGCCCCAGAGCAGGAUGGUCGUCACUGGCACUGGGUCCCUGUGUGCCCAGCGAGUCUUCAGUGGGGACUCCCACCCGCUCCAGAAACUCUAGGCCAAGGGCAAACAUUCAACCCUGGUACGGACAAGGGGGGACACCCAGGACCAUCCAGCCUAGGCGAGCUCCAAGGUCAGUUGCCAAACUUGAACUAAAAACCAAACCCAGGAUUUCCGUUGCUGUUCUGGGGGUGAAGAACCCAACUAGCAUCCAUGAGGACGCGGGUUCCAUCCCUGGCCUUGCUCAGUGGGUUAAGGAUCUGGCAUUGCUGUGAGCUGUGGUGUAGGUUACAGAUGCGGCUCAGAACCCAUGGCUGUGGCUGUGGGGUAGGCCAGAAGCUGCAGCUCCGAUUCGACCCCUAGCCUGGGAACUUCCCCAUGUGCCAUGGGUACAGCCCUAAAAAAACCCACAGUGCUUCCAGGGCUGGGGUUGGUCCUGGUAGCAGUGAGUCAGCCAGAAAGCCCAGCAGCCCUGCCAGGAACAGGGAGAGAGUGGGUGCCCUGGACUCUGCUAGAGCGGACCCAACCCCACUCCUGAGCAGGGAGCUGCAGAUUCGGAUGCUGUUAACCACAAGGGCAGCCUCAAGGUGGAGAUGGGGGGCUCUUACUUUCCCAGUCGCCAUCUGGGGGUGACUAUCCACCCAGCAAAUGUGUGCCCCCGCUGCCCAGCGGUUCGCAUCCAAGUUCAUUCCCUGGAGAAAUGCAAAGGGCCUAAAAAGACACGUGCAAAAUCUUGAUCACGGUGCUCUGAUAGUUUUUAAAAAGAAAACUAUUUCCAGGCCCAUCAAAGGCAUGUGGAUGGGUGAAAUGUUACACAUGCAGAUGACGGAAUGUUACGUAGCUCUUAGAAGGCUCACUCGGGGAGUGACGGUGUGGCUCAGUGGUAACAGACCGACUACCAUCCAUAAGGAUGUAGGUUCGAUCCCUGGCCCCGCUCGGUGAGUCAAGGAUCCGGCGUUGCCGUGAGCUGGGGUGUAGGUCACAGACGUGGCUCGGAUCUGGCAUUGCUGUGACUGCGGUGUAGACCAGCAGCUGCAGCUCCGAUUGGACCCCCAGCCUGGGAACUUCCAAACGCCAAGAGU
This 1894-nucleotide long non-coding RNA is filed under the name Sus scrofa (pig). RNAcentral describes it as "lncRNA (ENSSSCG00030060347.1)". Lineage: Eukaryota; Metazoa; Chordata; Mammalia; Artiodactyla; Suidae. The record is from RNAcentral.